CAAUAGCGUAUAUUAAAGUUGUUGCGGUUAAAAAGCUCGUAGUUGGAUUUCUGCCGAGGACGACCGGUCCGCCCUCUGGGUGAGUAUCUGGCUCGGCCUGGGCAUCUUCUUGGAGAACGUAGCUGCACUUGACUGUGUGGUGCGGUAUCCAGGACUUUUACUUUGAGGAAAUUAGAGUGUUUACGGCAGGCAAUCGCCUUGAAUAUAUUAGCAUGGAAUAAUACUAUAGGACCUUGGUUCUAUUUUGUUGGUUUCUAGAACUAAGGUAAUGAUUAAUAGGGAUAAUUGGGGGCAUUCGUAUUAACACGUCAGAGGUGAAAUUCUUGGAUUGUGUUACGACGAACUACUGCGAAAGCAUUUGCCAAGGAUGUUUUCAUUGAUCAAGAACGAAAGUGCGGGGAUCGAAGACGAUUAGAUACCGU
This 422-nucleotide ribosomal RNA is filed under the name uncultured eukaryote. Its description in RNAcentral is "SSU rRNA". It matches the Rfam family "Eukaryotic small subunit ribosomal RNA", at positions 592 to 1018 of the family's 1831-position model. The record is from RNAcentral.